RNAcentral lists this ribosomal RNA (595 nucleotides) under uncultured Bacteroidota bacterium. Its description in RNAcentral is "bacterial SSU rRNA". It matches the Rfam family "Bacterial small subunit ribosomal RNA", at positions 122 to 715 of the family's 1533-position model. Lineage: Bacteria; Pseudomonadati; Bacteroidota. The record is from RNAcentral.
CAACCUGCCUAUAACUAGGGAAUAACCUUGCGAAAGUAAGACUAAUACCCUAUGAUUUCCUUUGAUGGCAUCAGAUUAGGAAUAAAGAUUUAUCGGUUAUAGAUGGGGAUGCGUCUGAUUAGCUUGUUGGCGGGGUAACGGCCCACCAAGGCAACGAUCAGUAGGGGUUCUGAGAGGAAGGUCCCCCACAUUGGAACUGAGACACGGUCCAAACUCCUACGGGAGGCAGCAGUGAGGAAUAUUGGUCAAUGGGCGGAAGCCUGAACCAGCCAAGUAGCGUGCAGGAUGACGGCCCUAUGGGUUGUAAACUGCUUUUAUACAGGAAUAAAGUUAGCCACGUGUGGUUAUUUGUAGGUACUGUAUGAAUAAGGUCCGGCUAAUUCCGUGCCAGCAGCCGCGGUAAUACGGAAGGUCCAGGCGUUAUCCGGAUUUAUUGGGUUUAAAGGGAGCGUAGGCCGUCUGUUAAGCGUGUUGUGAAAUGUAGAUGCUCAACAUCUGAAUUGCAGCGCGAACUGGCAGACUUGAGUGUGCGCAACGUAGGCGGAAUUCGUGGUGUAGCGGUGAAAUGCUUAGAUAUCACGAAGAACUCCGAUUG